UGUCAGGCCCAAGGGGCAGGCUGAGAGGGUUGACCUGAGAUGAUUGUGUCUCUCUGUCCAUGGUAGCAGUGCUGCUGGCACCUGUUGCUACUGCCCUCUUGGUCCGUUGUGGCCUCAGCGAUGGUUCUGUCCUUGUCUCUUGGCUACACUGUAUGCUGGAUGUGGGGCAGACCCUGAGCUGUGCUGCUCUUUGGUGCUGCCAUCACUGUGCUUCCAGCAAGGGAGGGGUCCGUGACAGUGGGUGGAACUUGCUUGAAGCUGGUGGAAGAUGAGCCUUGAUUUACCACUGUUGGAUGUAUUUUUUUUUAAAACAGCAAUAAUUAGCCAUUUUAAAGAAGGGGUUUACCUGCAUAAAUGUGCAUGCCCAUUGUGUAUGUGCAUCUGUGCACAUGUGAGUAUGUGCAUCUGAGAGUAUGUGUUUGCAUGGUGAGUGAGUGUGUGUGUGUGUGUGUGUGUGUGUGUGUGUGUGUGUGUGUGUGUAGGAACUGUGCAGCACCCACGAGGCCAUCUUCUUGUCAGGCCCAAGGGGCAGCCUUCGAGAGUUGACCUGAGGUGCACGCACGCACACACACAAGCACAUGUCAUUUGUGAUCAUGUGCUCAUGUGACUAUAUGUGCCCAAGAAAUCACAUUCGUGUGUUGCAUGUGUGUGAGCUGGUGUGAGUACGUGUGGGCAUCUCCAUCCAUGUAUGAAUGUGUGCAUGUGUAUGUUUGUAUGUGCACAUGAGUAGCAGUGGGAGGGAACCUGUGGGGAUGGUUUCUGAUCUGGGAGGCACUUUGUGGUAAGAAGCAGGGUCUUGUGGUUGUCUCUCACUAUGCCCAUUCCUACCCUGCCCUGCCCGGCUCCAUGUGAAUGUAGCACAACCCCACCAGGCCAGCUGAACCUCUGCUGGUCCUCACCUCUGUCCUCUCCCCCACAGCUGAGGGGAGGGUAGAGGAGCUGGAGGUCCCUUGGACAGGACAGGGACUGGGUUUGGCCAGGGUGCAGAGGGUAUGGCACAGUGGUAGGUCUCACUGUUGUGGUUUGUUCCUGAAUUUGUACUGUGAGCCCAUGAUGGGGUGGGGUGUCCUGAGACCCCAGGAUGUGCCAAAAUAGCCCCUAGGGCCAGGUGAAGAGCCGAGUUCCCAAGAAGACAGGCUGGGGGCCCAAGUGGGUGUGUGCCCCUGCCUGCACGGCCCCCAAUGCUGCUGUUUUUCAAUAAAACCAGAAUUGAAGG
RNAcentral lists this long non-coding RNA (1216 nucleotides) under Rattus norvegicus (Norway rat). RNAcentral's name for it is "long non-coding RNA NONRATT010047". The record is from RNAcentral. Lineage: Eukaryota; Metazoa; Chordata; Mammalia; Rodentia; Muridae.